UCGAAAAUUUGUAGAAAAUGAACUUAUAAAUAAAUUUAUAGGAAAAAAGUCAUGGAAAUUUGCUGAGGUUUAAACCAGCUCUGACCUCUAAACUGGAUCACUCGUAGCCUGUUUGUUUCUAACUGAGUUUAUUUUAAUUGUAUCUACGAUUAGACGUUUGUCUCCAAGUUUAAAAGUGUAACAUGUUUUGAAACUUGGGGCUGACAUUUUCAGAUAAUCCUUGAAAAAUAAAAGGUUAUUAAUCUCAAUGGAAUCUUCAUGUUUAAAUUAGAGUUAAAUGCAAAUAAAAUGAUGGGCUUUAGCUUUUUCAUGAGAGGAGAACAUCAUGUCCUUAAAAAAGUAAUAAUAUAAUGAACAAAAAUCUGCAAUUGAAUUAAAAUGUUUGUUGAACGCUGCAGCAGCAGUGUGUUUGAUUCGUUUAAUUUGAACCGCAAGUCUGACGUACCGGACGGGCGGAGCUAGAAGUUCCUGUUUUAUUGGUCUUCACACGGGGUGCGCUGAUGAAAAAACAGGCCCACUUUUGAUGGAGAAACCACGGCGUUUGGCUCCUUCUCAGCCGUCUGAAAUUGCUAAUGACAUGAUAAAACGCAGAAUACCACCGAAACAGGAUGCAGCUGAUCACGCAGUUAAGGCCUGUGACAAAACGGGAUCGUUGGAAGUAAAGUUCAUCAACUCAAUUAAAGGGCGGGGUGUGUUUGCCACAAAUACUUUUAAAAGGGGAGACUUUGUGGUGGAGUACAGGGGGAAUUUAAUCAAUUCUGAAGAAUCACAAAGGAGGAGGAGACUGUAUCACACAGCAUCUGCUGUUUUCAUGUUUGAUUUCUCUUGGCAAGAAAGAUGGUGGUGGUGAGUACAGAAUUUAUACAAAAUAAAUAAGAUAAGUAUUGCAUUUAUUUAAAGCACAUUACACUGCUUCAAGAAGUGCUGCUUUUUAAAAGUUUUAGUUUUCCCAAACAACAAUUUGGCCUUAGAAAUUCUAAAACUUUCUUGUCUCUCUGUUUAGUAUUGAUGCAUCUCAAGAGGAUGACAGUCUUGGAAGAUUAGUCAAUGAUGAUCACAUCAGUCCAAACUGUAAAAUAAAAAAGAUGAUGGUUGAUGGGAAGCCACAUCUGUUCCUCUUUGCUGUAAAGGAUAUCAGUCCUGGAGACGAAAUAACCUAUAACUAUGGCGGAACUGGCUGGCCAUGGAGAGAGCAGGUAUGUAAAAAAAAAAACAUGUUCAAAAUAUUAAUUAAUAUAAGUUGCAUUUUUUUCCUUUUUGUCUGUCAUAACUAAACCCCCUCAGAGUUAUGAUGACUGUCAUAAAUUAAAGUUGGAACACAGAAGAUUUAUUGUAGUACACUGGGACGUUUUUAUCAGCUCAGCCAGCAGGCUAACUUUUAUCUGCUCAACAUAUUUAGCUACUGCAGUCAGCUUAGGUGCUGCAGAAUAAGAAACCAUGACAUUUUGCUGUUUGUCUGCAAUUUCUCUGUGUUUAUUAGCGUAUCGUUCACUGUCGGCUGGCUCUGUGAUUUUGUUAAAGAUGCCGUAUUGAACUGGGACUUAAUGCAGACCGAUGAUUCGCUGUUGCCAUGCGGUGCCUAAAGGGGAUAACAGCCAAAGGAGAAAGUAGUUUUGUUUUGAAGGCUGUUAAUCAUGCAGCUUUCUUACCAGCAUGUAGAAUGCCCAGUGACAUUACAAAUGGCUGUUACACUACCUUCCUUCUUCAGUUUAAAAUACCAACAAAAUACAAACAUUUUAGCACUCCUGUGGAGGCAUGUUAGCUUUGUGUUAGCCUUCUAGCUAACAGCUGCAUUUUAUGGUGUCUGAAUUCCCGCCUGCCGUCAAUUGUGACAUAAUAGAAGGGUUUUUGUCCAAGAAACAAAGAAUACUGAUGUAGAGGAACUUGUUGAGAUUAAAGUGUAUCCUUAAUGUUCUUUAAAAUGGUAGAAAAACACCAUCUGAGGUCAAAAAGUUACUUUGGUUAUCCUUCCAGGUUUUCAGACCACUAGCAGGUUUUUAAAAAUACUAAAUCAAGGGAAGUGGGCAGACUUCCCUAAAAUACGCACAGUUUUAGUUUAACGAUGGUUAAUGUUUGUGUAUGUUGGGGUUGUACAAACUCCUCUUUGUCUUGACAUCGUGUUCAUCGAUUUACACAAGAGAAAAUGAUAAUGAGAAGCACAGAGUUCAGAUCAUAUAAACGUAGAGCCGACUAGGGCUGCAACAAACGAUUACUUGGAUAAUCGAUGAAUCACAUGGGGUCUCGACACGAUUAAUCGGAUUACAUAGGGACAUUUUUAAAAACUGCUAGGGAAACGUUAUUUUUCUCCUUCCUUCACUUUAUUAAACACAACAUUAUUAGAAAACAGUUCAAUAGCAGAAAAACAACAUGCCACCACCUAAAUUGCCUUUUAAGACAGAGACCCUAAGCUGCACCUAUCUGUGACUUAAAAUGCUUGGUCCAAGUUAAACAGCUUAAAGAGCAAGUCAACCCCUACCAGAGUCUAACUCCACUCCCGCUUCAUGUUUGAAAAAUGCAACACAUUCUUUUGCCUGGCAGACCGAGAGGGCGGAGCCGCUAACAAAUACACACACACUCAGGCUCACGACAGCAUUGUGACAUCAUAAUGUACCAGUUUACAUCAUAGCAUACUUCUUAGCCAAUAGCGGUGGCAGAUUUAAAUUAAAAUACAGUGCAGAGUUUUNGUUUUAGCUCCUUGUAAUGGGUGUGUUUUGUUUUAGCCUGUGCAGCACUUUGGGCAGCUCCCAUGCUGCAUUUUAAAUGUGCUAUAUAAAUAAACUAUGCUAUGCUAUGCUAUGCUAUGCUAUUUGAGAAGAAGUGUAAAGAUAAACUGCAUCAAGUUUAUCUUUAAGUGGAACAUCCCUAAUGGAUUCCAGUGGAUGAUGUAUAGUAAUGACUAAAAACAUGUAUUUGUUGCAACUUUAAUUACAUAAAAAAAGGUUACAACAACGAUCAACAUAUAAUAAGAAUUCUUUCAAAGAAGUCUUUCAAGACCAUGACAUUAGAUAUUACAGUAAAAUAUUACAGUAUUUAAAAAAAAUAAUGCUGCCUAACGCUAGUCUUCAGAAUGAAAAUCACAAUUUUUAGAAUUGUGUUCUUGUUGCCAUUUUAAAAUCUUUAGACCUUAGUUGGCCAGACUGAAGGAUUCAGACAUAAUGAUGGUAAACAUUCUCAGAUUUAAGGAAUAAAAAUUGUUACUAGGAUAAAAAAAUUGGAUUGGUGCUAUCCAACAGACAACAGGUUUAAAAAAUUAUUCAAGCUGAAACAAAUGCUAAUAAAACCCCUGAAUCCUUGUAAAACCACUGCUCAUUAUUGGCGCUGGCUUGCGGUAACCUACUUUUUCUUGUCAUUGCAGUUUUAAUUCACAGGCAGGGUAAAAUCCUCUUGUAUUAUCUCCAUGUCUCAGUUAUAUAAGGCAAAUGCUUUGGCAGGUUUGAAAACUCAAGAUGUUUGUGAACACAAGCAGUAAUCUAUCCAAGACAGUUGUGUUCCUUAACAUUGUGGGAGGUGUUCAAUGAGCAUUAUUGACAGUAACAAAGAGAAUUUCUCCAGGCUAAUGUGCCGCAUUACUGCCCUCUUGUGGCCAAACCUGACAACUGUAACAGAUGUCACACUUCAGAGUAAAUGCAAGAUUAAGAAGCAUUAAAUGUUAAUAUAAAAAAACAAAACCCCCUAAAAUAAAGCUACUUUAAGUAGGAGGCACUCUAAACUACAAUUCACAGUGAGAGUGAAGACAUUGCUUCAACAGCUGUGGGAGUUAGUGAACUCGCUGUGAACACUGUCAAGUUUAAGAUCAACACUGAUGUAAUCACUACAUUCACAGAGUUUGUAUUUGGUUUAGCACGGCAGUCAGUCACAAAUUCAACUUAAGCAUCAAGAGGUGGAAAUGUAUGUGCAUAUGCACACAUCCCAUCCACAAUGCUGUUAAAAAUCUGACUGGAUUAGACUGGAAUAUGGAAAAACUCUACAGCACUGGGACGAAUUUAAAAAGGUCAAAAAUGACCAGACAUGAGUGGCAUGAUGAGGAAAAGUAGACAAAAACAAGUUACAAGUUUUGAUGUAUUAUCAAUAUUUACAUAUUUAAUGUUAUAAAAAGUUUUUUUUUAAAUGCUAUUGUAAAAACUAGAACACAAAUUAAACGCUGACAGCUUUAUAGUGCAGCUGUCUGGUUCAAACUAAAAACUUAUUUAUCUUCUGAUUUCCCCACUCUGCAUGAAGAGUUUAAAGUAGGGUUGUCAUGAUACUAAAAUUUCAUUCAAUUCGAUACUUGAAAGAAAAAAAACUCGAUACUCGAUUUCGGUACUAUUUAAAAACACCCAUUUAACGAACAAGUUUAUUCAAAAAAUAACAUUCCUCAAUAGGGAUGAGUACCGAAUUCGGUACUUUUUAAGGUACCGACCGAAUUCCAUAGUACCGACCGAAACACCGAUUCACGUCAUUUCAAACGGUGCCUCGUUUCGGUACUGCCAAGACAGUUGCGCAUGCGCAAGAGCGUUAUGUCGCCGGUCCCUGCGAGCCCGUUGUAAACAGAGCAAGCAUGGUAGAAAGAACGCACGCUAAAGCUUGGGUCCACUUCACUAAAUGUGAUGGGUAACUGGGUGAUGAAACUAGCGACAGACAACGAUCUAAGUGAGACAUCCUCAUCUUAAUCUGCUCCAGUAGGUAAAUAAAAUGUUUAAGAUAACGUUACCUUGAUUUGUUAGCUUCCGUUUCGCUAAUGGUGCGUUCGCUUUCUCCUCGGAACUCCGAAUUUCCGACUAGAAGAACAUGAACGCGCUCUAAAGUUUGGCUUUACUUUACUAAAUGCGACGGGUGAAUGGGUGAAGGUAAAACCAGCGACAACGAUCUAAGUUUGAGGCAUCAUCGUUUUAAUCUGCUCCAGCAGCUAAAUAAACUGUUAAAGAUAACGUUAGCUUGAUAUGUUAGCUUCCAUUGCCACCGUUGUUA
This is a long non-coding RNA of Nothobranchius furzeri (turquoise killifish), 4947 nucleotides long. Lineage: Eukaryota; Metazoa; Chordata; Actinopteri; Cyprinodontiformes; Nothobranchiidae. The record is from Ensembl.